AGACAUGUGACCAUGCCACCUGGUAGUAGAGUCCUUCUUGAGUCUAGUACUUUUCCAUAGUGGUAGGGAGACUAAACAAAAGGUCCCCAUACUGGGAGAAAGUCUACGUAUUUAAGGAAUGGAAAGCCUUAAAAAUGGUUUUACCCAUCCUAAAAGGAUACAUAUGAAGAAACCUGAAAACAAGGAACGGUAGCAUAGGAGUGAAGGCAAAGUUGCUGGACUCAAGUAAGAAAAAUCAACUCUGUCUUGAGAAGAAUUGUUCAAGGGGUGUGGUAGCCUCAACUCUAUGCCUUCGCUGAGGGAGACUAGAGUUUCUGGCCCAGCAGAGCAGGAGAGCGUGCAUCAGUGGUUUGAUCAGCACACCGGGGGAUUUCUGUGAUCCAACGCAUCCCAAACAAUGAAGGAAUUUCAAAUGUGAAGUAGCUUCUAGAUCUGGAACUUUGGCUAAGCAUGAUGAACCAACACUGGGCCUGAACAUCAAUGAACAGAUGAGAGCUUUCUGUGAACAUGACCCAUCUGUCCACAUUUUCAUCCAGAAUAUCAGAGAGCCAAGGUCAACUGGAAAAAAAAAUUGGCCUGAAAGCACAGAACCUACACACUGAUGGUUUUGAGUUCCCACAGAUCCAUUCACUCAUCUCUUCCACUGCAACUCAUUGUUGGUCUUGAGCUAUGCUGCUGUGAUAUUACUUCUUUGUGGGAGCCAAGGACAAAUUGAGGUGGAAUCAUUCAACAUGUGCAUAACAAGAAAGUGAUCAACUUCUCAGGAAUAAGCACAUAAAAGCUGUCAGAACUCUCCUGCCCCCCAACCAUGAAAUAUAGUACAUUUAUAUAUUUUUCUUAGUGCUGCCAAUAAUUCACAGCAGAGGAUCAGACACAAAACACAUGCUAAUUUUUUUAAAAUAAUAAAUAAAAAGGCAACACUAUCCAAGCAAUGUUCUGAUUAGGUGUCAGUUGAGAUCAAUGUCAGUGAGCAGUUUCUUACUCUCUAAUGAUAUUCUCAUAAGGUGUGUUUCCGGGCUGUACUGAGUUUGUCUUGGAAUCCAGGUUGUCACUCCAUAAAUCAAAGAGAUUCGUACUACCCGUCACUACUCUGGAGACGGUACGACUUUUAGAAAGUACGGGUAACUCUUGCCACGUACAUUAUGUCUUGACUGCAAAAUUAGCCAUGUCAUCUGCACUGUGUCACUUGCUGCCAAUAGCCUGGCUAUAAUUAUAUGUACAGCAUUUUACUUAAUCUUCCUGUCACUUGCAAAAGGUGACAUUGAUGUAGCAGCAGGAAACCUCCUUCAAGAAUUAUAACAAAGCAACAAAGGACACACAUUUAAGAGUAUAUGCAUCA
Pelodiscus sinensis (Chinese soft-shelled turtle) is the source of this 1339-nucleotide non-coding RNA. The record is from RefSeq and is a predicted model, not a curated record. NCBI's taxonomy places the organism in Eukaryota, Metazoa, Chordata, Testudines, Trionychidae.